This 498-nucleotide ribosomal RNA is filed under the name uncultured bacterium. RNAcentral's name for it is "bacterial SSU rRNA". It matches the Rfam family "Bacterial small subunit ribosomal RNA", at positions 899 to 1397 of the family's 1533-position model. The record is from RNAcentral.
ACUCAAAUGAAUUGACGGGGCCCCGCACAAGCGGCGGAGCAUGCGGAUUAAUUCGAUGCAACGCGAAGAACCUUACCUGGGUUUGACAUAUACCGGAAACACCUAGAGAUAGGUGCCCCUUUUUGGUCGGUAUACAGGUGGUGCAUGGCUGUCGUCAGCUCGUGUCGUGAGAUGUUGGGUUAAGUCCCGCAACGAGCGCAACCCUCGUCCUAUGUUGCCAGCGGGUAAUGCCGGGAACUCAUAGGAGACCGCCGGGGUCAACUCGGAGGAAGGUGGGGAUGACGUCAAGUCAUCAUGCCCCUUACGUCCAGGGCUUCACGCAUGCUACAAUGGCCGGUACAAAGAGCUGCAAACCCGCAAGGGCAAGCGAAUCUCAAAAAGCCGGUCUCAGUUCGGAUUGGGGUCUGCAACUCGACCCCAUGAAGUCGGAGUCGCUAGUAAUCGCAGAUCAGCAACGCUGCGGUGAAUACGUUCCCGGGGCUUGUACACACCGCCCGU